CCGGAUUUAUUGGGAGUAAAGCGAGCUCAGGCGGUUUCUUAAUUCUGUUGUGAAAGGCCCCGGCUCAACCUGGGAGGGUCAUUGGAAACUGGUAGACUUGAGUGCAGAAGAGGAGAGUGGAAUUCCAUGUGUAGCGGUGAAAUGCGUAGAUAUAUGUAGGAACACCAGUGGCGAAGGCGGCUCUCUGGUCUGUAACUGACGCUGAGGCUCGAAAGCGGGGGGAGCAAACAGGAUUAGAUACCCUGGUAGUCCACGCCGUAAACGA
This 265-nucleotide ribosomal RNA is filed under the name Enterococcus faecalis. Its description in RNAcentral is "partial 16S ribosomal RNA". It matches the Rfam family "Bacterial small subunit ribosomal RNA", at positions 545 to 809 of the family's 1533-position model. The record is from RNAcentral. Lineage: Bacteria; Bacillati; Bacillota; Bacilli; Lactobacillales; Enterococcaceae.